GCAUGAAGACGUAGCCAAUUAGCAACCAAGUACCACAGAAAAGGUUUGGUUUUCGUAAUAAAAACCUGACAUAAGGUGAGCUGAAUUGUUUCUUUAGCUUUUAUUUCUAUGCAAAAUACCCCUUUCCCCCUUUCCUAUUGCUAACUAAUAUUUGCACAUUCCCUUUGUAAUUGUCUCUCUUUCUAAUAAAUUAUUUUUUGUAUGCAUUUUUCAUGUGUUUUUGUUUAGUUUCUUGUAUGUAAAUCUUUUUGACUUUACUAAUCUUUUAUAAGUUUUUCUCUUUGACAAGGACAGGAAGGAAUAUAGUACAGACAGACAAACAGUGGCCGGCUGCACAACAAAGAGCAGGACAUAAGUAUGAUCUGAACACAUAUUUCAGGCCAACAAAAGUCAAAUGUGCUUAGCAAGAAUCAGCCCUUCUGUGUAGCUUGACUGACUCAAAGACUUUUCAAUGAAAACACCAAAAGUAAGCACCAUCAAGUAGGAGUUUGUCCGAUCAACUACUGCCAACUGUGGAAAAUUCAGCCGGAAGCAGCAAGAAGCCAACCCAGGACCACAGAAAAGGUUUGGUUUUUGUAUUAAAAACCAUAUAUUAGGUGAGUUGAAUCGUUUCUUUAGCAUGUAUUUCCAAGCCCUACCUCUUUCUAACAUAACUAACACAUGCACAUUCCCUUUCUUAUGAUUGUCUUUAUUAGCGUGUACAUGUAUUCUAAAUAUUCUGUCUUGUUUUUAAAAUUCUUUUUGGACAUGAAUAAUAAGGUAUCAGUUUCUAACUUUGAGAAGGGCAUAGAGGAGUAUACGACUCAGACAGACAGUGGCUAGUAACAAAUAGGAGAGCAUUGCAAGAAUCCAGAAACAGAGAAUCGACCAUGACAACAGGCCAACAAUAGUCAACUUGACGGAAAGCUUGGCAAGAAUCAGUCCCACUUUGGAGGUCGUCUGGAUGACACUUCAGUGAGAUCACCAAGAGUAAGGAUGGACAACAGUCCUAACAUGGAAUUCAGGUGAAAAAUAGACUUGCCUCCAUUCUCCAGUUUGAGAGCAAUCGAGUCAUCCAAUGGAGAGUCCUGUACACUGCGGACCAAGUCUACAGAUAAGGUUGGGAAAAUAAAGUCAUACCUCCUUGCUCUGCAUUCUAUUUCUGGAUUCAUGUUGCAUUUGAUCAACUGAAUUUAAGAAAACAUUGCUCUUUGACAUCUUUAUCAGAGGGCAUAUAACUAUCAUGGAUCAACAUUGAAUAGGA
Molecule: long non-coding RNA, 1243 nt
Organism: Saccostrea cuccullata (small rock oyster)
Lineage: Eukaryota; Metazoa; Mollusca; Bivalvia; Ostreida; Ostreidae
Exons: 5
Source: RefSeq, a predicted model, not a curated record